This is an RNA transcript of Colossoma macropomum (tambaqui), 6156 nucleotides long. It is a transcript of the gene named importin 8, with no coding region annotated. Lineage: Eukaryota; Metazoa; Chordata; Actinopteri; Characiformes; Serrasalmidae. The record is from RefSeq and is a predicted model, not a curated record. The transcript has 26 exons.
GGUCAUAAUGUUAUGCCUGAUCGGUGUGUAUAUAUAACAUUUCAUCACCGCAACACUCAGUUAAAGACAUUUUCACUGUUUUUCCAGAAACAGUGUUUGCAGAAACGCCCAUCUACUGCCGACUCAGCUCUUCUCUGAUUGGCCUCUCGUUUCCAUGACACCACCGAGCUGUCGUGAACCGUUGGUGUUUACCCUCUUUUGCGGCGGUAGGCCGUCCCUUGCCGGUAAACGGGGCAGGACCGUGUGAAAGUGGCCCAGCGGCCGUUCGCAGCCCGCUGUAGCCCGGUCGGUUCAGCCGUCGCUCAAAAGUUACGAUCAGCCCGCCCUGCUGGCCCCCAUGGACCCCAACCGAAUCAUACAGGCCUUGAAAGGCACCAUAGACCCGAACCUGAGGAUAGCGGCGGAGAAUGAGCUCAACCAGUCCUACAAGAUUAUCAACUUUGCUCCGACUCUGCUGCAGAUCAUCGUGUCGGACCAGGUGGAGUUUCCUGUCCGGCAGGCAGCUGCCAUCUACCUGAAGAACAUGGUGAGUCAGUACUGGCAGGACCGGGAGCCCUCUUUGGGGGAGGUCGUCUUCCCCUUUAACAUCCAUGAGAAUGACCGCGGCCAGAUCCGAGAGAACAUGGUGGAGGCCAUUAUUCAGUGCCCUGAGUCCAUACGAGCCCAGUUGACUGUCUGCUUGCGUGCUAUCAUAAAGCAUGAUUUCCCCGGCCGCUGGACCGGCAUCGUAGAUAAGAUCAGCCUGUACCUGCAGUCGCAGAACAGUGGGAGCUGGUACGGUAGCCUCCUCGCACUCUAUCAGCUCGUCAAGACCUAUGAAUUCAGAAAGGCGGAGGAGAGGGCUCCUCUGCUGGCCGCUAUGCAGCUCUUCCUGCCCCGCAUCCAGCAGCUCAUCACCCAGCUGCUCCCCGAUGCCACGGUCUUCUCUGUACUCAUCCAGAAACAGAUCCUCAAGAUAUUCCACGCACUUGUGCAGUAUUCCCUGCCUCUUCAGCUGCUCAAUAACACAGUUAUGACCCAGUGGAUGGAGAUCCUGAGAGCAGUCGUGGAUCGGGAUGUCCCACCAGAGACUCUGGAGGUGGACGAAGACGAUCGACCAGAAUUAAUUUGGUGGAAGUGCAAGAAAUGGGCUCUACACAUUAUCACCAGGCUGUUUGAGAGGUAUGGAAGCCCAGGCAACGUAACAAAGGAAUACUUUGAGUUUGCGGAUUUUUUUCUGAAGACGUACGCUGUUGGAAUUCAGCAGGUCUUGUUAAAGGUGGUCGAGCUGCACAGACAGAAGCAGUACGUGAGUCCACGUGUACUACAGCAGACUCUGAACUACCUGACCCAGAGCGUCUCUCACUCCAUGACGUGGAAACAGAUGAAGCCGCACAUGCAGACCAUAACUCAGGAGGUGGUGUUUCCUCUGAUGUGCUAUAAGGAUGAGGAUGAAAAGCUGUGGCAGGAAGAUCCAUACGAGUACAUUCGCAUGAAAUUCAAUAUGUUUGAUGACCACGUGUUUCCCGCUACUGCGGCCCAGACUCUGCUGUGCAAAGCAUCCAGGAUGAGGAAGGAGGUCCUUCCUCAGAUGAUGGAGUUCUGCCAUCAGAUUUUGAUGGACCCCAACGCUGACCCCCGCAGGAAGGAUGGGGCACUUCAUGUCAUUGGUGCCUUAGCUGACCCGUUGCUAAAGAAGCGAGUAUACAGAGAUCAGAUGGAGCUGAUGUUACAGAAUUAUGUGUUUCCUCUGCUCAACUCGAACCUGGGUUACCUGCGGGCCAGGUCCUGCUGGGUUCUGCACUGUUUCAGCCCUCUGAAGUUCCACAAUGAGCUGGUCCUGAGGAACGCUGUGGAGCUGGUCAAACAAGACCUCAUCGCUGACCAGGAGAUGCCCGUCAAAGUGGAAGCAGCCAUUGCUCUGCAGACUCUGGUCAGCAACCAGGAGCAAGCUAAGAUCUACAUCAGGCCGUUCAUCAGGCCUGUGAUGCAGGAGCUGCUGCACGUCAUCAAGGAGACGGAGAACGAUGAUCUCACGAGCGUCAUUCAGAAGAUGAUUUGCGAAUACAACCAAGAAGUGGCAGUGAUAGCAGUGGACAUGACUCAGAACCUGGCAGAGAUCUUCAGCAAGGUUCUGCAGAGUGAGGAGUAUGAGGAGAGUGAAGAUAAGACGGUGAUGGCACUGGGUAUUCUCAGCACCAUAGACACCAUCCUCACCGUCAUGGAGGACCACAAAGAGAUAACUCAGCAGCUGGAGGGCAUCUGCCUGCAGGUGAUUGGUCUGGUGCUCCAGAAGCCCAUCAUAGGUAUGGCAGAGUUCUAUGAGGAGAUUCUGUCGCUGGCCUUUGGUCUCACCUGCCAGACCAUCUCCCCUCAGAUGUGGCAGCUGCUGGGGGUGCUUUAUGACGUCUUCCAGCACGACUGCUUCGACUACUUCACAGAUAUGAUGCCUCUCUUGCACAAUUACGUAACUGUGGACACGGACACACUACUCUCAAAUCCCAAACACUUGGAGGUCAUUUACACCAUGUGCAAAAAGGUCCUAACAAGCGAUGCAGGGGAGGAUGCAGAGUGCCAUGCUGCCAAACUCCUGGAGGUCAUCAUUUUACAGUGUCGUGGCCGGGGCAUUGACCAGUGUAUCCCACUGUUUGUGGAAGCGGUGUUGGAGCGGCUGACGCGGGGUGUAAAGUCGACGGAGCUACGCACCAUGUGUCUGCAGGUGGCUAUCGCUGCGCUGUACUACAACCCCUCACUGCUGAUGCACACACUUGAGAACAUCCGCUUCCCACACAGCCCCGAACCCAUCACCGCCCAGUUCAUCAACCAGUGGAUGAACGACACUGAGUUCUUCCUCGGGCUGCACGACCGUAAGAUGUGCAUCAUCGGCCUGAGUCUGCUCAUGGAGCUGUCUAGCAGGCCGGCCGUUUUGGAAGGAGUGGCCAGUCAGAUCAUCCCCUCCAUCCUGCUCCUUUUCUUGGGCCUCAAACACAUCUAUGCCUCCCGGGUCCUAAACAAGCCCGAGCCGCUCUCCAGGGUGCAGGGCACCGACGAGGAUGAGAACGAGGAGAUUCCAAGUGAUGAGGAUGAGGUGGGAGAGAAGAGUUCCAGCAUGCAGCCAGCCAGUGCUUCCAGUGGCAAUGACAACGAAGAUGAAGAUGAUGACGACGACGAUGAUGAUUACUGGGGGGACGAAGGUCUGGAGGGCACCGCCUUGGAGGAAUACAGCACACCACUGGACUACGAUAACGGAGAGGACGAGUAUCAGUUCUUUUCUGCUUCCCUGCUUCGAGUGCAGAGCUCAGAUGUGAGCUGGUAUCAGUCUCUGACACAGUGUCUGAGUGACGAUCAGAAGAAACAGCUGCAGGAGAUCUACAGCCUGGCCCAGCAGAGGAGGAGUGCAGCAGGCAAAGGCCUGUGAGAUCUGUACUGUUCCGUGUGGGAGGUGCAGUGGUAGGACGGAGAAAAGACUGUGGGUUUGGAUCUGCAACGGUUUCAACCCUGGAACUGAUCUCCACUUUACAUGGAUGCACCUGAGCAAGAACCUCCACUGGAGAGAGAGAGAGAGAGAGAAAGAGAGAGAAAGAGAGAGAGAAAGAGAAAGAGAGAGAGAGAGAAAGAGAGCCAUUUCAACCAAGACGAGAGGGGAUUUUGGGGAGGGAGGGGGGAACGAGCCAGGACCCGAAGCAGCCUGUCCGGAUCCAGAACCCUAGAAGGACCACUGAGACACUUAAUCGUCUGGAUAGAGAGGCCUUGUGCCAGUGAGGCUGAAGAGGUUGCUCUGGGUCUGCCACAGCCUGAAUGAGUCACAAAUGCAGUAUUGGCGUGUGAGUGAGAAACAGCCAUGCCUGUGUGUGUGUGUGAGUGUGUGUGUGUGUGUGUGUGUGUGAGUGUGUGUGUGUGUGUGUGUGUGUGUGUGUGUGUGUGUGUGUGUGUGUGCGCGCUUGCGUGCAAGUGUGUGUGAGCAACUAAAUCUCUUUCCAUAUUUAAGAAAAUGAGAAUGAUGAAGUGCUGCAGGGGGAAACAUGAAAAGACAAGCUCUCAUUGGACAUGAGUGAUGCAGAUUCAAAGAAAGGGUUUCACACUAGUUAAAUCCAUGUGCAUCCUAAAAAAUAUAAACAAUAACUAGACGUGUCACAGUCCUGAAAUUUUAGCUGACAAUUAGCAUAUCAGUAAUUAUUAUGAACAGUGUAGUCUCUCUUGGUUAACUGUACUGAAGUGCAAGCUUAAGGUGGCCAAAUGGGUUGAUAAGCUAUCUUGCUUUCCAGCUUUUGAUGCUUUCAGACAACCGAAACAGAUUGAGCUCAAAUAAACAAACAUCUCUCACUGUCGCCCUCUGCAGGUAUUACUAACAAACAUCAGAUAAACAAACAUUACUCACCACCGCCCUCUACAGGUGUUAUUAACAUCAGAUAAGCCAAUUUUAGUCACACCACCCUCUAAAUUUGUUAACAUCAAAUAAACGUUAAUACAUGCUUGUUAACAUUGCUAACCGCUGCCCUCUAAAGGUGUUAACAAAUAUCAAAUAAACAAACGUUACUCACCGCCGCCCUCUAAAGGUGCUAUUAACAAACAUCAAAUAAACAAACGUUACUCGUCGUCGCCCUCUAAAGAUAUUAUUAACAAACAAUAAAUAAUAAAUAUUACUCACUGCUGCCCUCUAAAGGCGUUAACAAACAUCAAAUGAGCAGACGUUACUCACUGCUGCCCUAUACAGCUGUUCUUAACAUCAAAUACACCAAUUUGUCACACCGACCUCUAAAUUUAACACCAAAUAAACAUGUUAAUCAACUCUUGUUAACAUAUAACAAAUAUUAAACACCGUCGCCCUGUAAAGACAUUAAUAACAAACAUUAAAUAAACAUUACUCACUGCUGCCCUCUAAAGCUGUCAUUAACAAACAUCAAAUAAAAUUUACUCACCACCGGCCUCUACAGGUGCUACUGACAUCAAAUAAACCAAAUUGUCACACUGCCCUCUAAAUUUGUUAACGUCGAAUAAAAAUGUUAAUAAACGCUUGUUAACAUUACUCACUGCUGCCCUCUAAAGCUGUUAUUAACAAACAUUUAAAUAACAAAUAUUAAACACGGUCGCCCUCUAAAAACAUUAAUAACAAACAUUAAAUAAAUAAACAUUACUCACUGCUGCCCUCUAAAGGCUAUAUUAACAAACAUCACAUAACAGACAUUAACGCAGCUGAUGACAACACACCUAAUUCACACCCAGUUUGAUGGAAUGUAAGCUUAUGAUUGUGAAAGCUUACAUUUGUCAGCUUAAACGAUGGCAGUUAUCUGAGAUGACAGCAGUCAGAUGGUUAUGUAGAAAUCGAGACAGGCCUGACCGUGACUAUUUUUGCUCGGGAAGUAUUUGUUUACAUUUUUGGUGAUGCACAUAAUUACUUCACCUUAGCGACUCCUGGUGUGAAAGCCUUUCUUAGCGUAUUGCUGAUCCUCCUCUCCACCUCUUGCUGGUAGUCUUGGUUCAGAGUAUGAAGAGAGGUGUGUAAAGCCCAGUGUACAAGAAAGACACAGACUGCUUCACGGGCGCAGAGACUAAGGAACAGACGCGGAUACACACAGGCCGGUGGGGUUGACCGAGGUGGUCUGGGCUUUCAGUGUUUCAUAGGUGUGUUCCUGUCUAGCUUGUGAUAUACACACUGGGAGGACUGUGCUCUAUAUUUGUUACAUGUUUGUAUGUUUUGAUUUUGUUUUUGUAAAAGUUUUGAGAAUUAACUUAAGUCAUAAAAAUUAGUCUAACACUACUUCUUGUCUCUCUUAGUCCUUUGUGUGUGACUGAUGCUCAUAAUAACCAGAACUCUUUUGAGUAGCACUGCGAUCCCACACAGCAUUGAUUCCAGGCAUUCAGGAAUCGAGAGUUGACUCAGGCUUUGGACUCGAUUCCAUACAGUGAUGUUUGUCUGCACUCGCAAACAUACCGAGUGAGAUAUUCUGCUGUCGCUGUCUAGACUUUCUGUAUGGAAAUGCAGCCUUUCACAAUGUGCACAUCAACAGUCCAGCUGUAUUUUACUUUAGACAAAGCAGAAAACUAAUGUAAAAAUACUAGAAAUAAUGAAAAAUUAGUUUAGAACCAAACAACACAGCCAGUGCCAAAACAUCGACCCAUUUGAAGGAGGCCAGAGAAUCAGCUUAGUAUAGGUGUAAUGAUUUCAAUACAUAUUGA